This 478-nucleotide ribosomal RNA is filed under the name uncultured bacterium. RNAcentral's name for it is "partial 16S ribosomal RNA". It matches the Rfam family "Bacterial small subunit ribosomal RNA", at positions 28 to 507 of the family's 1533-position model. The record is from RNAcentral.
GAUUAACGCUGGCGGCGUGCAUAACACAUGCAAGUCGAACGAUGAAACUCAUUAGAUUUCUUCGGAAUGAAAAUGAAUGGAUUAGUGGCGAACGGGUGAGUAACGCGUGAGUAACCUGCCUUACACAAGGGGAUAGCCUCUGGAAACGGAGAAUAAUACCCUAUGAAACCAGACAAUCGCAUGAUAAUCUGGUCAAAAUGUUUAGUGGUGUAAGAUGGACUUGCGUCUGAUUAGCUAGUUGAUGAGAUAAAAGCUCACCAAGGCAACGAUCAGUAGCCGGCUUGAGAGAGUGUACGGCCACAUUGGGACUGAGACACGGCCCAGACUCCUACGGGAGGCAGCAGUGGGGAAUUUUGCACAAUGGGGGAAACCCUGAUGCAGCGACGCCGCGUGAUUUAGAAGGCCUUCGGGUUGUAAAAAUCUUUUGUAUAGGAAGAAAAUGACAGUACUAUACGAAUAAGGUCCGGCUAAUUACGUG